UGUGACUCCUACGGGAGGCAGGCAGUGGGGAAUAUUGCACAAUGGGGGAAACCCUGAUGCAGCCAUGCCGCGUGUGUGAACGUAAGGCCUUCGGGUUGUAAAGCACUUUCAGUAGGGAGGAAGGUAGUGUAGUUAAUACCUGCAUUAUUUGACGUUACCUACAGAAGAAGCACCGGCUAACUCCGUGCCAGCAGCCGCGGUAAUACGGAGGGGUGCGAGCGUUAAUCGGAAUUACUGGGCGUAAAGCGCAUGCAGGCGGCCUGUUAAGUCAGAUGUGAAAGCCCCGGGGCUUAACCUCGGAAUUGCAUUUGAAACUGGCAGGCUAGAGUCUUGUAGAGGGGGUAGAAUUCAGGUGUAGCGGUGAAAUGCGUAGAGAUCUGAAGGAAUACCAGUGGCGAAGGCGGCCCCCUGGACAAAGACUGACGCUCAGAUGCGAAAGCGUGGGGAGCCAAACAGGAUUAGAUACCCCUGGUAG
RNAcentral lists this ribosomal RNA (475 nucleotides) under uncultured bacterium. RNAcentral's name for it is "bacterial SSU rRNA". It matches the Rfam family "Bacterial small subunit ribosomal RNA", at positions 331 to 793 of the family's 1533-position model. The record is from RNAcentral.